RNAcentral lists this ribosomal RNA (594 nucleotides) under Bacillus amyloliquefaciens. RNAcentral's name for it is "bacterial SSU rRNA". It matches the Rfam family "Bacterial small subunit ribosomal RNA", at positions 173 to 747 of the family's 1533-position model. The record is from RNAcentral. Lineage: Bacteria; Bacillati; Bacillota; Bacilli; Caryophanales; Bacillaceae.
UUGUCUGAACCGCAUGGUUCAGACAUAAAAGGUGGCUUCGGCUACCACUUACAGAUGGACCCGCGGCGCAUGGUAGCUAGUUGGUGAGGUAACGGCUCACCAAGGCGACGAUGCGUAGCCGACCUGAGAGGGUGAUCGGCCACACUGGGACUGAGACACGGCCCAGACUCCUACGGGAGGCAGCAGUAGGGAAUCUUCCGCAAUGGACGAAAGUAGCUGACGGAGCAAGCGCCGCGUGAGUGAUGAAGGUUUUCGGAUCGUAAAGCUCUGUUGUUAGGGAAGAACAAGUGCCCGUUCAAAUAGGGCGGCACCUUGACGGUACCUAACCAGAAAGCCACGGCUAACUACGUGCCAGCAGCCGCGGUAAUACGUAGGUGGCAAGCGUUGUCCGGAAUUAUUGGGCGUAAAGGGCUCGCAGGCGGUUUCUUAAGUCUGAUGUGAAAGCCCCCGGCUCAACCGGGGAGGGUCAUUGGAAACUGGGGAACUUGAGUGCAGAAGAGGAGAGUGGAAUUCCAAGGCGUGUAGCGGUGAAAUGCGUAGAGAUGUGGAGGAACACCAGUGGCGAAAGCGACUCUCUGGUCUGUAACUGACGCU